This 268-nucleotide ribosomal RNA is filed under the name uncultured Glomus. Its description in RNAcentral is "partial small subunit ribosomal RNA". It matches the Rfam family "Eukaryotic small subunit ribosomal RNA", at positions 605 to 877 of the family's 1831-position model. The record is from RNAcentral. Lineage: Eukaryota; Fungi; Glomeromycota; Glomeromycetes; Glomerales; Glomeraceae.
UAAAGUUGCUGCAGUUAAAAAGCUCGUAGUUGAACUUCGGGACCAUCAUGUCGGUCGUGCUUCCGGUACGUACUGGGGUCGUUGGUUCCUCCUUUCUGAGGAUUCACGAUGCCAUUAACUUGGUGUGGUGGGGAAUCAGGACUGUUACCUUGAAAAAAUUAGAGUGUUUAAAGCAGGCGCACGCUUGAAUACAUUAGCAUGGAAUAAUGAAAUAGGACGUUCGAACCUAUUUUGUUGGUUUCUAGGAUCAACGUAAUGAUUAAUAGGG